AGAGUUUGAUCCUGGCUCAGAACGAACGUUGGCGGCGUGGAUUAGGCAUGCAAGUCGAACGAGAACUCCUGGGUAACUGGGAGGGAAAGUGGCGAAAGGGGCAGUAAUGCGUGGGUAACCUACCCCGGGGACCGGGAUAGCCAUCCUAACGGGUGGGUAAUACCGGGCGAUGCAGCGAGAUCGCCUGACCUUGCUGUGAAAUGAAUUUCGCCUCGGGAGGGGCUCACGUGGUAUUAGCUUGUUGGUGAGGUAACGGCUCACCAAGGCUCAGAUGCCUAGCAGGUGUGAGAGCACGACCUGCGCCACUGGCACUGAGACACUGGCCAGACUCCUACGGGAGGCUGCAGUCGAGGAUCUUCGGCAAUGGGCGCAAGCCUGACCGAGCGACGCCGCGUGCGCGAUGAAGGCCUUCGGGUUGUAAAGCGCUGUCGAGGGGGAGGAAGCCGAAAGGUUGACCUAUCCCUGGAGGAAGCACGGGCUAAGUUCGUGCCAGCAGCCGCGGUAAGACGAACCGUGCAAACGUUGUUCGGAAUCACUGGGCUUAAAGGGCGCGUAGGCGGGUGGCCAAGUCAGGGGUGAAAUCUUUCGGCUCAACCGGAAAAUUGCCUUUGAUACUGGUCGUCUCGAGGGAGGUAGGGGCAUGUGGAACUUCCGGUGGAGCGGUGAAAUGCGUUGAUAUCGGAAGGAACGCCGGUGGCGAAAGCGACGUGCUGGACCUUUUCUGACGCUGAGGCGCGAAAGCUAGGGGAGCGAACGGGAUUAGAUACCCCCGUAGUCC
RNAcentral lists this ribosomal RNA (778 nucleotides) under uncultured bacterium. Its description in RNAcentral is "bacterial SSU rRNA". It matches the Rfam family "Bacterial small subunit ribosomal RNA", at positions 8 to 796 of the family's 1533-position model. The record is from RNAcentral.